CGAAGUCUGGUGCCAGCAGCCGCGGUAAUUCCAGCUCCAAUAGCGUAUAUUAAAGUUGUUGCNGUUAAAAAGCUCGUAGUUGAAUUUCGGGGUUAGUAGGUUGGUCGUGCCUUUGGUAUGUACUGGUCUCACUGAUUCCUCCUUCUUGAAGAACUGUAAUGUCAUUAAUUUGGUGUUGCAGGGAAACAGGACUGUUACUUUGAAAAAAUUAGAGUGUUUAAAGCAGGCUAACGCCUGAAUACAUUAGCAUGGAAUAAUGAAAUAGGACGUUUGAUCCUAUUUUAGUUGGUUUCUAGGGAUUGACGUAAUGAUUAAUAGGGAUAGUUGGGGGCAUUAGUAUUCAAUUGUCAGAGGUGAAAUUCUUGGAUUUAUUGAAGACUAACUACUGCGAAAGCAUUUGCCAAGGAUGUUUUCAUUAAUCAAGAACGAAAGUUAGGGGAUCGAAGACGAUCAGAUACCGUCGUAGUCUUAACCAUAAACUAUGCCGACUAGGGAUCGGAUGAUGUUAAUUUUUUUAAUGACUCAUUCGGCGCCUUACG
RNAcentral lists this ribosomal RNA (539 nucleotides) under uncultured Glomus. Its description in RNAcentral is "SSU rRNA". It matches the Rfam family "Eukaryotic small subunit ribosomal RNA", at positions 555 to 1092 of the family's 1831-position model. Lineage: Eukaryota; Fungi; Glomeromycota; Glomeromycetes; Glomerales; Glomeraceae. The record is from RNAcentral.